UUCCUUUGAAAUCCGAAAAAUAGCAUUUACAAAAACAAGGCUCCAAAAUCAAUCACAUUUCUUCCUCUUUGAAGUUUUUCUUUCUGAUCGAGAAACGACGUAACACCGAUUCUUUUAUGGUGGUGGCAAAUGCGGCUGAUGAAACCACAAAAAUAUGCAGUCACUACUAUGUGCUUGGUGUGCGGGGCAGUUUCUUCUUUGACUGUGCACUUAUGCAAGGAAGACAGGUUUGGGGUUGUCCAAUUUUCUAGUAGCCAUGCUACCCUGUGUGCUUGCUGUUAAAGCUUUUAAUAUGAUUUGUAGUAGUACUAACAAUUUAAUGCUUAGUUAUUAGUUGAUUUUAGUAAUAAUAGUUUAAUAUAACUAAUAUUUUUUUA
This is a long non-coding RNA of Mangifera indica (mango), 377 nucleotides long. RefSeq lists it as uncharacterized. NCBI's taxonomy places the organism in Eukaryota, Viridiplantae, Streptophyta, Magnoliopsida, Sapindales, Anacardiaceae. The record is from RefSeq and is a predicted model, not a curated record. The transcript has 3 exons.